UAAUGAGUACUGCCGCCUCCCCAUUUCUCAAUUCUCUCCCAUUUCUCUCCCAACUCUUUGUGAAAUUCAUCUUCCUAUCAAUCUAUGCCUCCUUUGCUUUGGGCAAUAAAAAUUUGGGUUUCUCCAGAUGAUAUAUUACGUGUACGUAUUUGUGGGUUCUUACUGAUUUAAUUCUAUUGUAGAGGUACAUGAAAGUUUAAAUUUAUUCAACAGCAAAGUUACUAGACAAGUGGUUACAUUAGCGUUUGAGGAAGCAGCAUUUUUUCUUUCUUUCUUAGUUUAUUACUAAAAUUAUUGUAUUUCUAUUUGACCUCAUGUUGUU
Molecule: non-coding RNA, 322 nt
Organism: Nicotiana tabacum (common tobacco)
Lineage: Eukaryota; Viridiplantae; Streptophyta; Magnoliopsida; Solanales; Solanaceae
Source: RefSeq, a predicted model, not a curated record